CCUACGGGGGGCUGCAGUGGGGAAUUUUGGACAAUGGGGGCAACCCUGAUCCAGCCAUGCCGCGUGUGCGAAGAAGGCCUUCGGGUUGUAAAGCACUUUUGUCAGGAACGAAAAGUUUCGCGCUAAUACCGCGGGACGAUGACGGUACCUGAAGAAUAAGCACCGGCUAACUACGUGCCAGCAGCCGCGGUAAUACGUAGGGUGCAAGCGUUAAUCGGAAUUACUGGGCGUAAAGCGUGCGCAGGUGGUUGUGUAAGACAGAUGUGAAAUCCCCGGGCUUAACCUGGGAACUGCAUUUGUGACUGCACGGCUAGAGUGUGUCAGAGGGGGGUGGAAUUCCACGUGUAGCAGUGAAAUGCGUAGAGAUGUGGAGGAACACCAAUGGCGAAGGCAGCCCCCUGGGAUAACACUGACGCUCAUGCACGAAAGCGUGGGGAGCAAACAGGAUUAGAUACCCUAGUAGUC
Molecule: ribosomal RNA, 465 nt
Filed under: uncultured bacterium
Lineage: Bacteria
Description: bacterial SSU rRNA
Rfam family: Bacterial small subunit ribosomal RNA
Source: RNAcentral